Molecule: transfer RNA, 88 nt
Filed under: Lawsonibacter sp.
Lineage: Bacteria; Bacillati; Bacillota; Clostridia; Eubacteriales; Oscillospiraceae
Description: tRNA-Ser
Rfam family: tRNA
About the family: Transfer RNA (tRNA) molecules are approximately 80 nucleotides in length. Their secondary structure includes four short double-helical elements and three loops (D, anti-codon, and T loops).
Source: RNAcentral
GCGGCGGUAUCGAAGCGGUCAUAACGGGGCUGAUUCGAAAUCAGUUUGGGGUAAUCCCACGUGGGUUCGAAUCCCACCCGCCGCGCCA